Molecule: ribosomal RNA, 150 nt
Filed under: Klebsiella pneumoniae
Lineage: Bacteria; Pseudomonadati; Pseudomonadota; Gammaproteobacteria; Enterobacterales; Enterobacteriaceae
Description: partial 23S ribosomal RNA
Rfam family: Bacterial large subunit ribosomal RNA
Source: RNAcentral
CUAAGCACGAAACUUGCCCCAAGAUGAGUUCUCCCUGAGACUUUAAGUCUCCUGAAGGAACGUUGAAGACGACGACGUUGAUAGGCCGGGUGUGUAAGCGCAGUGAUGCGUUGAGCUAACCGGUACUAAUGAACCGUGAGGCUUAACCUU